CUCCUUCCCAUUUAUGAGAGAGCCACAUGACAUCAGCCCAUAGACUGUGGAGAGUAUUCCAGAUCUAUCACAUUCUGCGAUUCUGCGAUUCCCAGAAGGCUGGUCAUGAAAAAAUUCCCUCUUCAGUUUACAUAUAUGGCAGUGUGUCAAGGUGUCAGCUUUGAAGGCCACUCUUGUGUGGAGACGGUGCUACCAACUGACUGGAGACAGGAUGUGCCCUUUGGAUAGGGGACCGCAUAACUCAACAUCCAAACUGGGACACUGUUAUUAUUUAAGCAGGACAACAGGAAUAAGAUGAGACUGCUUAUUCAAACUGGGAUUUACAGUCACUUUACUUAGGGCCAGGUCCACAUCCUGCCUUGCUUGCUUGUUAAGGAAUCUUGUCACAAAUUAUUUAGUUUCUCUGAACCACAGUUUCCUCAGUUGUAAAUUGGGCACAAUAAUGCCAACUUGUAAGAAUUAGAGAG
This is a long non-coding RNA of Homo sapiens (human), 467 nucleotides long. Ensembl annotates it as long intergenic non-protein coding RNA 907. NCBI's taxonomy places the organism in Eukaryota, Metazoa, Chordata, Mammalia, Primates, Hominidae. The record is from Ensembl.